AUGGUGGCCGGAUCGGGCGUGUUACUCCGGAGACUUGUUGCGGUCUCCGACGAGAGCAUGGUACCGACACGUUUCUCGGUGAUGCUAUUUUGUAGCAGAAUUUUGCAGGUUUGGGCAGAGUAUUUUGGACUGGUUAUGAGCAGGUUUGCAGGCUGGUUUAUAGUGAUGCAUAGUAUUAUAUGUGAACCAGCUCUUGGGUUGGCACUUGGGCAUACAAGGUUGAAACCACUCGGCUGGACCUAUCAUUUGGAUGUAAUGAAACAUCAAUGA
Molecule: non-coding RNA, 270 nt
Organism: Vicia faba (fava bean)
Lineage: Eukaryota; Viridiplantae; Streptophyta; Magnoliopsida; Fabales; Fabaceae
Source: the annotation of a GenBank genome assembly